Molecule: ribosomal RNA, 409 nt
Filed under: uncultured bacterium
Lineage: Bacteria
Description: partial 16S ribosomal RNA
Rfam family: Archaeal small subunit ribosomal RNA
Source: RNAcentral
GGCGCGAAAACUUUACAAUGCUGGCAACAGCGAUAAGGGAACCUCGAGUGCCAGGUUACAAAUCUGGCUGUCGAGAUGCCUAAAAAGCAUUUCAUAGCAAGGGCCGGGCAAGACCGGUGCCGGCCGCCGCGGUAACACCGGCGGCUCGAGUGGUAACCGUUAUUAUUGGGUCUAAAGGGUCUGUAGCCGGCCGGAUAAGUCGCUUGAGAAAUCUGGCAGCUUAACUGUCAGGCUUUCAGGAGAUACUGUCUGGCUCGAGGCCGGGAGAGGUGAGAGGUACUUCAGGGGUAGCGGUGAAAUCUUGUAAUACUUGAAGGACCACCAGUGGCGAAGGCGGCUCACCAGAACGGACCUGACGGCAAGGGACGAAAGCUAGGGGCACGAACCGGAUUAGAUACCCUAGUAGUCC